AUUGAACGCUGGCGGCAGGCCUAACACAUGCAAGUCGAGCGGAGCGGCGGACGGGUGAGUAAUGCCUAGGAAUCUGCCUGGUAGUGGGGGAUAACGUCCGGAAACGGGCGCUAAUACCGCAUACUCUCAGAUGAGCCUAGGUCGGAUGAGCUAGUUGGUGGGGUAAAGGCCUACCAAGGCGACGAUCCGUAACUGGUCUGAGAGGAUGAUCAGUCAAACGGGAACUGAGACACGGUCCAGACUCCGACGGGAGGCAGCAGUGGGGAAUAUUGGACAAUGGGCGAAAGCCUGAUGCAGCCAGGCCGCGUGUGUGAAGAAGGUCUUCGGAUUGUAAAGCACUUUAAGUUGGGAGGCGUUACCAACAGAAGAAGCACCGGCUAACUCCGUGCCAGCAGCCGCGGUAAUUC
Molecule: ribosomal RNA, 407 nt
Filed under: uncultured bacterium
Lineage: Bacteria
Description: partial 16S ribosomal RNA
Rfam family: Bacterial small subunit ribosomal RNA
Source: RNAcentral